CACAACUAGAAAACUCUGUCCCACAGCUGCAACUGAAAUCUAUUGACGGUCGGGAAUUAAACGCAGGAUUUUGGAAUCCCUCAAGCUCCAAAACUCCUUCUGAUCUAUACCUUUUUCUGUGAUCUUUAGCUCCUACCGCCUCUUUCUCUAUUUAUCUGUCUUAAUUUUCUUCUCUCUCAGUCCAGAGAGAGAAUCUGAUUGCCUUAAGGAGGUACUAAAAUAAUAUAUAUAAAUAUAUUUUGGCACGGAUGGCGGGCCAGGCAGAAGAAUCUACCCCAACUGCUCAAGUGGUGGGGAAUGCCUUUGUGGAGCAGUACUAUAAUAUACUGUCCAAGUCUCCAGAGGUUGUUCAUAAAUUUUACCAAAAUUCUAGUGUGAUUAGCCGGCCAGAUUUUGACGGACUCAUGUUGUCUGCAUCAACUUUAGAGGGCAUUGACAAGAUGAUCCUUUCCCUUGACUAUAAGAAUUGUGAGGUUGAGAUAUUGACGACUGAUGCUCAAGAGUCUUUUGGAGAUGGCGUGAUUGUUUUGGUGACUGGUUUCUUUAC
This 547-nucleotide unclassified non-coding RNA is filed under the name Hevea brasiliensis (rubber tree). The record is from RNAcentral. Lineage: Eukaryota; Viridiplantae; Streptophyta; Magnoliopsida; Malpighiales; Euphorbiaceae.